GCCAGGCACAGUGGUGCAAGCCUGUAAUCCCAGCAACUUGGGAGGCUGAGGCAGGAGGAUCUUGUUCAAAGCCAGCCUCUG
This 81-nucleotide small RNA is filed under the name Marmota monax (woodchuck). Lineage: Eukaryota; Metazoa; Chordata; Mammalia; Rodentia; Sciuridae. The record is from RNAcentral.